GUAGAUUAAAAAUUCCUUGAAGCUUGCGGGCCUGGCUUUGGGUGAUUGGGCCCACGGACAACUGCUUUAGUAUCAUGUAUGUCUUGCUCUUUUAUUGGGACAUCUUUUAUGAUGGUUCUCAUAUCAAUUGGUAUUUAAUUUUAUUAUUUUGUCUUAGGUGAAAAUAAUGUAUGAUAAAAAGAAAGCUCAUAUUUCAUAGG
Molecule: long non-coding RNA, 200 nt
Filed under: Carica papaya (papaya)
Lineage: Eukaryota; Viridiplantae; Streptophyta; Magnoliopsida; Brassicales; Caricaceae
Description: long non-coding RNA (CPAP_LNC003890)
Source: RNAcentral